AUGGUGAGCAGGCCGAGCUAGAAAAGCAAAAAAGAUGGCUUUGCUUGCGUUUGUUUGUAGGUGGCGGGGAGGAUGACACAGUUUAUCCAUCCCAAGCUUUUGAGGAGAGCCGAGGAGGUGCUGGGCAUGCUCUCCACGCCCAAGUCCACUCCGCAGUACCCCUACGACAAGAAGUUCAGUGAGGUGCCGCUCGAGGAGCGAGAGAAACUUAUGUACCAGUGGGCCAACAGCGACGACGACGAUUCCCGUCUCAACUUCAAGAUCUUCAAGACGUUCAUCCUCAACACUGUCUAUAGCAAGGUGCCAUGGUUUAAAAAGACGCUCUCUAUAUCAAGACAUUGUACCUCUUGGCUUGCAGGUGGAUGCUAAGGGCUACAACCCGACCUGGGAAGCCAUCGGCUAUGCGGGACCGGAUCCAAACUCCAUGAAAGCAACGUUGCCUCCAAAGCCGUCAGCUCUCAAGUCCGCCGUCUUCGACGUCAGAGAGCACCCCGACCUGCGAGGAGUCCUCAAGCACACGGGUUACACUCUACUGGAUGACAUAUCUCACCUCAAGCCGGCGCUCCUGCCUUCCAACAAGCUCGAGGACGGAGAGGACGUGAUUGGCAUCAAAUGCGACGUGAUCAUUGUUGGAGCUGGCAGCGGAGGAAGCGUUCCAGCUCAGGUCCUGUCCACUGCCGGCCUCAAAGUUUUGCUGCUGGAAAAAGGCCGCUACUUUGCGAGAGAAGAUCUGUCCCUGCUCGAGCAACCGACUUUCAGCGAGCUCUACGAAGAAGGCGGAUUUCUGGCAACUGACGACGUUGCUUACUCGCUCAUGUCCGCUGCGGUGGUGGGAGGCGGAACUUGCAUCAACUGGGCGGCAUCCUUCCAGACUCCGCCUCACGUCCGCCAGGAAUGGGCCGAGGAGUGUGGACUUCCCAUGUUUACCAGCGAAAAGUACCAGCAAGCUCUGGAUCUCAU
RNAcentral lists this long non-coding RNA (960 nucleotides) under Selaginella moellendorffii. Its description in RNAcentral is "long non-coding RNA (SMOE_LNC001428)". The record is from RNAcentral. Lineage: Eukaryota; Viridiplantae; Streptophyta; Lycopodiopsida; Selaginellales; Selaginellaceae.